AUUCCAGCUCCAAUAGCGUAUAUUAAAGUUGUUGCAGUUAAAAAGCUCGUAGUCGGAUUUUGGCAUCACGCCGAACUGUCUGCCGAUUGGUAAGUACGGUUUGGCGGGUGCUUCCUUCCGGAGGCUCGUUCCCUUCUUCAUUGAAGGGUUCGUUGGUUCCGGGUCUUUUACUUUGAGAAAAUUAGAGUGUUCAAAGCAGGCCUAUGCUCUGAAUAGGUUAGCAUGGAAUAAUAGAAUAGGACUUUGGUUCUAUUUUGUUGGUUUCUAGGACCGAAGUAAUGAUUAAUAGGGAUAGUUGGGGGCAUUCGUAUUCAAUUGCCAGAGGUGAAAUUCUUGGAUUUAUAGAAGACGAACUACUGCGAAAGCAUUUACCAAGGAUGUUUUCAUUA
RNAcentral lists this ribosomal RNA (389 nucleotides) under Picozoa sp. RNAcentral describes it as "partial small subunit ribosomal RNA". It matches the Rfam family "Eukaryotic small subunit ribosomal RNA", at positions 582 to 975 of the family's 1831-position model. The record is from RNAcentral. Lineage: Eukaryota; Picozoa.